GUGGGGAAUAUUGGACAAUGGGCGAAAGCCUGAUCCAGCCAUGCCGCGUGUGUGAAGAAGGUCUUCGGAUUGUAAAGCACUUUAAGUUGGGAGGAAGGGCAGUAAGUUAAUACCUUGCUGUUUUGACGUUACCGACAGAAUAAGCACCGGCUAACUUCGUGCCAGCAGCCGCGGUAAUACGAAGGGUGCAAGCGUUAAUCGGAAUUACUGGGCGUAAAGCGCGCGUAGGUGGUUUUGUAAGUUGGAGGUGAAAUCCCCGGGCUCAACCUGGGAACUGCCUCCAAAACUGCAUGACUGGAGUACGGGAGAGGGUAGUGGAAUUUCCUGUGUAGCGGUGAAAUGCGUAGAUAUAGGAAGGAACACCAGUGGCGAAGGCGACUACCUGGACUGAUACUGACACUGAGGUGCGAAAGCGUGGGGAGCAAACAGGAUUAGAUACCCCUGUAGUCC
Molecule: ribosomal RNA, 450 nt
Filed under: uncultured bacterium
Lineage: Bacteria
Description: bacterial SSU rRNA
Rfam family: Bacterial small subunit ribosomal RNA
Source: RNAcentral